AGCAGCCGCGGUAAUUCCAGCUCCAAUAGCGUAUAUUAAAGUUGUUGCAGUUAAAAGCUCGUAGUUGAAUUUCGGGGUCAGCAGGUCGGUCGUGCCAAUGGUAUGCACUGGCCUUGCUGAUUCCUCCCUCUUGAUGAGCCGUAAUGCCAUUAGUUUGGUGUUGCGGGGAAUCAGGACUGUUACUUUGAAAAAUUGAGUGUUUAAAGCAGGCAAGCGCUUGAAUACAUUAGCAUGGAAUAAUGAAAUAGGGCGUUUGAUCCUAUUUUGUUGGUUUCUAGGAUUGACGUAAUGAUUAAUAGGGAUAGUUGGGGGCAUUAGUAUUCAAUUGUCAGAGGUGAAAUUCUUGGAUUUAUUGAAGACUAACUACUGCGAAAGCAUUUGUCAAGGAUGUUUUCAUUA
This 399-nucleotide ribosomal RNA is filed under the name uncultured Glomeromycotina. RNAcentral describes it as "SSU rRNA". It matches the Rfam family "Eukaryotic small subunit ribosomal RNA", at positions 569 to 975 of the family's 1831-position model. Lineage: Eukaryota; Fungi; Glomeromycota. The record is from RNAcentral.